RNAcentral lists this ribosomal RNA (450 nucleotides) under uncultured bacterium. RNAcentral's name for it is "partial 16S ribosomal RNA". It matches the Rfam family "Bacterial small subunit ribosomal RNA", at positions 338 to 795 of the family's 1533-position model. The record is from RNAcentral.
CCUACGGGGGGCAGCAGUGGGGAAUAUUGCGCAAUGGGCGAAAGCCUGACGCAGCGACGCCGCGUGGGUGAUGAAGGCCUUCGGGUUGUAAAGCCCUGUCGGGUGGAACGAACGUUCUGGCGGCGAAUAACCGCCGGGUGUGACGGUACCACCGAAGGAAGCCCCGGCUAACUACGUGCCAGCAGCCGCGGUAAGACGUAGGGGGCGACGGUUGUUCGGAUUUACUGGGGGUGCAGGGCGCGUAGGUGGCGAAAUCCCUCGGCUUAACCGAGGGCCCGCAUCCGGUACUGUCUGGCUCGAGUCUAGGAGAGGAAAGCGGAAUUCCCAGUGUAGCGGUGAAAUGCGUAGAUAUUGGGAGGAACACCGGUGGCGAAGGCGGCUUUCCGGACUAGUACUGACGCUGAGGCGCGAAAGCUAGGGGAGCGAACGGGAUUAGAUACCCGGGUAGUC